AGCGGACAGAUGGGAGCUUGCUCCCUGAUGUUAGCGGCGGACGGGUGAGUAACACGUGGGUAACCUGCCUGUAAGACUGGGAUAACUCCGGGAAACCGGGGCUAAUACCGGAUGGUUGUCUGAACCGCAUGGUUCAGACAUAAAAGGUGGCUUCGGCUACCACUUACAGAUGGACCCGCGGCGCAUUAGCUAGUUGGUGAGGUAACGGCUCACCAAGGCGACGAUGCGUAGCCGACCUGAGAGGGUGAUCGGCCAUACUGGGACUGAGACACGGCCCAGACUCCUACGGGAGGCAGCAGUAGGGAAUCUUCCGCAAUGGACGAAAGUCUGACGGAGCAACGCCGCGUGAGUGAUGAAGGUUUUCGGAUCGUAAAGCUCUGUUGUUAGGGAAGAACAAGUGCCGUUCAAAUAGGGCGGCACCUUGACGGUACCUAACCAGAAAGCCACGGCUAACUACGUGCCAGCAGCCGCGGUAAUACGUAGGUGGCAAGCGUUGUCCGGAAUUAUUGGGCGUAAAGGGCUCGCAGGCGGUUUCUUAAGUCUGAUGUGAAAGCCCCCGGCUCAACCGGGGAGGGUCAUUGGAAACUGGGGAACUUGAGUGCAGAAAAGGAGAGUGGAAUUCCACGUGUAGCGGUGAAAUGCGUAGAGAUGUGGAGGAACACCAGUGGCGAAGGCAACUCUCUGGUCUGUAACUGACGCUUAAGGAGCGAAAGCGUGGGGAGCGAACAGGAUUAGAUACCCUGGUAGUCCACGCCGUAAACAAUGAGUGCUAAGUGUUAGGGGGUUUCCGCCCCUUAGUGCUGCAGCUAACGCAUUAAGCACUCCGCCCGGGGAGUACGGUCGCAAGACUGAAACUCAAAGGAAUUGACGGGGGCCCGCACAAGCGGUGGAGCAAGUGGUUUAAUUCGAAGCAACGCGAAGAACCUUACCAGGUCUUGACAUCCUCUGACAAUCCUGGAGAUAGGACGU
Molecule: ribosomal RNA, 969 nt
Filed under: Bacillus velezensis
Lineage: Bacteria; Bacillati; Bacillota; Bacilli; Caryophanales; Bacillaceae
Description: bacterial SSU rRNA
Rfam family: Bacterial small subunit ribosomal RNA
Source: RNAcentral